UACGUAUGUCCCAAGCGUUAUCCGGAUUUAUUGGGCGUAAAGCGAGCGCAGACGGUUAUUUAAGUCUGAAGUGAAAGCCCUCAGCUCAACUGAGGAAUUGCUUUGGAAACUGAAUAACUUGAGUGCAGUAGAGGAAAGUGGAACUCCAUGUGUAGCGGUGGAAUGCGUAGAUAUAUGGAAGAACACCAGCGGCGAAGGCGGCUUUCUGGACUGUAACUGACGUUGAGGCUCGAAAGUGUGGGUAGCAAACAGG
Molecule: ribosomal RNA, 253 nt
Filed under: uncultured bacterium
Lineage: Bacteria
Description: partial 16S ribosomal RNA
Rfam family: Bacterial small subunit ribosomal RNA
Source: RNAcentral